RNAcentral lists this non-coding RNA (23 nucleotides) under Arabidopsis thaliana (thale cress). The record is from RNAcentral. Lineage: Eukaryota; Viridiplantae; Streptophyta; Magnoliopsida; Brassicales; Brassicaceae.
ACGAGUGUGAUCAUGGUUGGCCA